This 476-nucleotide ribosomal RNA is filed under the name uncultured organism. Its description in RNAcentral is "partial 16S ribosomal RNA". It matches the Rfam family "Bacterial small subunit ribosomal RNA", at positions 334 to 801 of the family's 1533-position model. The record is from RNAcentral.
CACUCCUGCGGGAGGCAGCAGUGGGGAAUAUCGCACAAUGGGCGCAAGCCUGAUGCAGCCAUGCCGCGUGUAUGAAGAAGGCCUUCGGGUUGUAAAGUACUUUCAGCGGGGAGGAAGGCGAUAAGGUUAAUAACCUUGUCGAUUGACGUUACCCGCAGAAGAAACACCGGCUAACUCCGUGCCAGCAGCCGCGGUAAUACGGAGGGUGCAAGCGUUAAUCGGAAUUACUGGGCGUAAAGCGCACGCAGGCGGUCUGUCAAGUCGGAUGUGAAAUCCCCGGGCUCAACCUGGGAACUGCAUUCGAAACUGGCAGGCUAGAGUCUUGUAGAGGGGGGUAGAAUUCCAGGUGUAGCGGUGAAAUGCGUAGAGAUCUGGAGGAAUACCGGUGGCGAAGGCGGCCCCCUGGACAAAGACUGACGCUCAGGUGCGAAAGCGUGGGGAGCAAACAGGAUUAGAAACCCGGGUAGUCCCAUGAU